This 3031-nucleotide long non-coding RNA is filed under the name Sus scrofa (pig). RNAcentral's name for it is "lncRNA (ENSSSCG00005019226.1)". The record is from RNAcentral. Lineage: Eukaryota; Metazoa; Chordata; Mammalia; Artiodactyla; Suidae.
CAAAGAACCAGUCAGUAGAAUCUGCUUCAAAAUUAUAAAAAAAGGAGGGAGAGAGGAAAGGAGGAAAGAAUAAAACCCUUUUUCUUCUAUGACUCUUACUGUUUUACUGUUACACUUAGAUUCUCAAUCCAACUUGAAUUUAUUUUGUUUAUGGUGAUGGGGUAAGGAUCUGACUUUAUUUUUUUCAAGUGGGUAUCUAGUUGUUUCUGUACCAUUUAUUAAAUAAUAAAUAAUCUGUUAUUUUCAACUGAUUGUUGCCAACUUUUCAUAUGUUAAGUUUGAAUUCUGCAAUCUUUGUUCUUUUCCACUGGUUUAUUUGUGUAAAUCCUGAAGUACCAAGAGUUGUUUUUUUUUUUUUAAAUACCCUUUUUUUUCUAUUUGAGAAUAAUCUUUUUUUUUUUUUCUCAGAUGUUUAGAAGCAGCUUGUCAGCUUUUAUUUUGUUUUGCUUUUUAAUCCUUUUGGCUGUUUAAGUGGGAUUCCAAAAAGUUAUGUGUUUAGAGAGAAGUAGAAACUGGCAAGGAACUGUCGUAUAGCACAGAGAAAUCUACUCAAUAUUUUGUAAUAAACCAAUAUGGGGAAAAGAUUGGAUAUAAGUAUAUGCAUAACUGAUUCACUUUGUUGUACAUCUGAAACUAAUACAGCAUUGUAAGUUAACUGUACUCUGAUGAAAUUUUAAAAAGAAGUGAUAUCUUUACAAUAUUGAAUGUUCCCUUUUAGUGAUACAGUAUUUCUCUCUGGUUGUUUUCCUUUUAUGCCAUAUUGUUUUCUCUCUCUAGAACUGGCAGAUUCCUUUUUAUUUCUAUAUUUUUCAUAGCUAUUGUUGAUACUAUAAAUUUGAUCCUUUUGCCAUGUCACUUCCUGAUGUUUAUUACUGGAUAGAUAGAAAUGUUAUUGUUGUCUGUUCAUUUACCUCACAUCAGCCAUCUUCCUAAUUCUGUUUUCACUUGAUUCUCUUGAAUUUUCUACAAAAACAAUCAUAUCACCUACUUAGGCUAAUUUUGUCGUUUCCCUAUUGCCUAUGUGCUGUAUCCACUGCAGUGCUUUUGUAAUUAGAGUUUUAUUGGUAUUAUCCAUGCUUGCUUGUUUACUCUUGUCUGUAGCAACUUUUCCCUACAGUAGCCAACUGGAGUAGUUGUGGCAGAGACGAUAUGACCUGCAAAGCCUAAAAUUAGCUGGCUCUUUAUAACAAAAGUUUGCCAGAUCCUGCCACAGAGUAUCUAUAAAUUAGAGAUUUUUUUUCUGGACUUUUAUUGUCUAAGUCCCCCUGAACAAACUUAAAUAGUAGCAGUAAUGAUGAGACUCUGACUUUGUCUGACUUUAAUAGGGAGACUGUCUCUGUUUUUCUAGUAGAAUAAUGGUUUCCUUUGGGAAAGAACCAACCAUUUCAGCCUUACUAAGAGGGAAUGCCUAUACAUGGAGAUGAACAUAUGGCCUAUCAUUUAAUAUUUUAAUUUAAUAAAUCACUGUAAUUUAUUUCUAAAAUUUUGUGAUUUUCUUUUUUUUUUUUUUUUUUUUUUUUGGCUGUGCCUGUGGCAUGUGGAAGUUCCCAGGCCAGGGAUCAAACCCAAGCCACAGCAGUGACCAGAGCCACUGCAAUGACAAUCCCAGAUCCUUAACCCUGCUGUGCCAUAGAGAACCCCCUAUUUGUGAUUUUAUAUCUAUAUUUGUAAGUAAUGUUGGUUUGUUGCUUUCUUAUUUUCUGACUGCUUUUAAAAUAGCAACUAUUGAUGUUGCUAUGUCAUCAUAAAUCUCCCUGAAGACAUCAAUUGGAAUUAAAAAAAAAAAACCUAUCUUCUACUCUUUUCAUUAACUUUGUUUCUUCAGGGAUCAUUAUUCUGGUUUUUAGUCUUGAUGCUCUCAUGUUCAUGUUUUUCCCUAUGGAGGAAGUUCAUGGGUUUGGUUAUUGAUUCUUAAUUUUAAUUGAAAGACUAGAAUAACAUAAGAAGGUGGUAUGAAUUUACCUGGCAGCUAAAUAAGCUGCUUUCUUGACUAGGAGGCUGACUGUAGGGUUCUGUAGAUAGACAUGGGGAUUGACAGACAGGCAGCUUUCCCCUUUGGACGAUGAUCAGACUGCUGAGUUUCAGCUCUCCUUUGACUGUUUGCUGAGGCCAGCAACACUUUGUGCUGGGGGUAGAGCUCCUGAGAGUUCUCAGUGCAUUGCACUGGAUGCGGACAUUUCUCUUCCCACCUCCUUCUAAUGGACGGAUAGAUAGAUGGAAGAUAGAUGGAGGGAAGGCAAGAAGGAGGGUUAGUUGGCUGGUUGAACUGGGGUCUGCAUGUCUCUUAUGGGGUCCCAAACUUUGUGAGCACUGCUCUACUUGGGUUUUGUUUGUUUGUUUUGUUUGCUCAAGUCCCAUCUUAGGAACCUGUGAGACACUCCUCCAGAGUUACAUAAGGCAAGGGUUUUUGCUGAUUUUAGACCCAAGGCAGUUGUGGUUUCUCAUUGUUCCUUGUGACAGAGAAGUUGAAUAGCCCAUAGUGUCAGUCCUUUGAAUAAUUACUCCUCCAAUUGGUUGCCCAUGGAUUCCCAUCCUUGCUGGCCCUGAGUGUGGAUCUUUUCCUGGGCUCUGUGUUUGACAGCCAUCCUCCAGACCCAGAGGGACCACUCCUUUCCCUAGCUCUAGUGAUUCUCUAUACAAUCUCUCUCCUUAACAUUUUCCAUAAAUUCCUCAAAGUUUUUGGCCUGGUAAUACCAUCUUUCCUUGCUUUCCAGGUUGAUAUGGAGUCAUUUCACUGGAAUUUUAGGAAAGGGUAUAUAAUCAUUGCUCAAUAACCACAGUUAUCAGUGCAUUUAAAAUAUUCCUUCCUGGAAAUUCCCGUCAUGGCUCAGCAGAAACGAAUCUGACUAGUAAUUAUGAGGAUACAGGUUUGAUCCCUGGCUUCGCCGCUUGGUGGGUUAAGGAUCUGGUGUUGCCUUGAGCUGUGGUAUAGGUCGAAGACAUGGCUCGGGUGUGGUGUUGCUGCGCCUGUGGCGUAGGCCGGCAGCUACAACUCCGAUUUGACCCCUAGCCUGGGAACUUCCAUGUGCCA